RNAcentral lists this ribosomal RNA (393 nucleotides) under uncultured bacterium. RNAcentral's name for it is "partial 16S ribosomal RNA". It matches the Rfam family "Bacterial small subunit ribosomal RNA", at positions 523 to 918 of the family's 1533-position model. The record is from RNAcentral.
AUACGGAGGAUGCGAGCGUUAUCCGGAUUUAUUGGGUUUAAAGGGUGCGUAGGCGGAUAGUUAAGUCAGUGGUGAAAAGCCAUCGCUCAACGAUGGUCGUGCCAUUGAUACUGGCAGUCUAGAGUUCCGUUGCCGUGGGAGGAAUGAGUAGUGUAGCGGUGAAAUGCAUAGAUAUUACUCAGAACACCGAUUGUGAAGACAUCUCACGAAGCGGCGACUGACGCUGAGGCACGAAAGCGUGGGGAUCGAACAGGAUUAGAUACCCUAGUAGUCCACGCAGUAAACGAUGUUGACUAACCGUUGGUCUUAUCAGAUCAGUGGCCAAGCGAAAGCGAUAAGUCAUCCACCUGGGGAGUACGACCGCAAGGUUGAAACUCAAAGGAAUUGACGGGG